RNAcentral lists this ribosomal RNA (538 nucleotides) under Vibrio sp. MR07-25. Its description in RNAcentral is "bacterial SSU rRNA". It matches the Rfam family "Bacterial small subunit ribosomal RNA", at positions 107 to 639 of the family's 1533-position model. The record is from RNAcentral. Lineage: Bacteria; Pseudomonadati; Pseudomonadota; Gammaproteobacteria; Vibrionales; Vibrionaceae.
UGAGUAAUGCCUAGGAAAUUGCCCUGAUGUGGGGGAUAACCAUUGGAAACGAUGGCUAAUACCGCAUGAUGCCUACGGGCCAAAGAGGGGGACCUUCGGGCCUCUCGCGUCAGGAUAUGCCUAGGUGGGAUUAGCUAGUUGGUGAGGUAAUGGCUCACCAAGGCGACGAUCCCUAGCUGGUCUGAGAGGAUGAUCAGCCACACUGGAACUGAGACACGGUCCAGACUCCUACGGGAGGCAGNAGNGGGGAAUAUUGCACAAUGGGCGCAAGCCUGAUGCAGCCAUGCCGCGUGUAUGAAGAAGGCCUUCGGGUUGUAAAGNACUUUCAGUCGUGAGGAAGGUGGUGUUGNUAAUANCAGCAUCAUUUGACGUUAGCGACAGAAGAAGCACCGGCUAACUCCGUGCCAGCAGCCGCGGUAAUACGGAGGGUGCGAGCGUUAAUCGGAAUUACUGGGCGUAAAGCGCAUGCAGGUGGUGGAUUAAGUCAGAUGNGNAAAGCCCGGGGCUUCAACCUCGGAACCGCAUUUGAAACUGGUUC